RNAcentral lists this ribosomal RNA (403 nucleotides) under uncultured bacterium. RNAcentral describes it as "partial 16S ribosomal RNA". It matches the Rfam family "Bacterial small subunit ribosomal RNA", at positions 30 to 526 of the family's 1533-position model. The record is from RNAcentral.
AUUGAACGCUGGCGGCAGGCCUAACACAUGCAAGUCGAGCGAGCGGCGGAGGGGUGAGUAAUGUAUGGGGACUGCCUGAUAGAGGGGGAUAACUACUGGAAAAGGUGGCUAAUACCGCAUACUAUCGGAUAACCCAUAUGGGAUUAGCUAGUAGGUGUGGUAAAGGCUCACGUAGGCGACGAUCCCUAGCUUGGCUGAGAGGAUGAGCAGCCAACCUGGGACUGAGACACGGCCCAGACUCCUACGGAGGCAGCAGUGGGGAAUAUUGGACAAUGGGCGCAAGCCUGAUGCAGCCAUGCCGCGUGUAUGAAGAAGGCCUUAGGGUUGUAAAGUACUUUCAGCGGGGAGGCGUUACCCGCAGAAGAAGCACCGGCUAACUCCGUGCCAGCAGCCGCGGUAAUUC